Molecule: ribosomal RNA, 825 nt
Filed under: uncultured archaeon
Lineage: Archaea
Description: bacterial SSU rRNA
Rfam family: Archaeal small subunit ribosomal RNA
Source: RNAcentral
UGCAGACCUGGUUGAUCCUGCCAGAGGUUACUGCUAUCGAGGUUCGACUAAGCCAUGCGAGUCGAAUGUAGCAAUACAUGGCGUACUGCUCAGUAACACGUGGACAACCUACCCUUAGGACGGGGAUAAACCCGGGAAACUGGGUAUAAUACCCGAUAGAUCUGGGCUGCUGGAAUGCAUCCAGAUUUAAAACUCCGGUGCCUAAGGAUGGGUCUGCGGCCUAUCAGGUUGUAGUGGGUGUAGCGUACCUACUAGCCUACGACGGGUACGGGUUGUGAGAGCAAGAGCCCGGAGAUGGAUUCUGAGACACGAAUCCAGGCCCUACGGGGUGCAGCAGGCGCGAAAACUUUACAAUGCCGGCAACGGCGAUAAGGGGACCUCGAGUGCCAGGUUACAAAUCUGGCUGUCGCGAUGCCUAAAAAGCAUUGCAUAGCAAGGGCCGGGCAAGACCGGUGCCAGCCGCCGCGGUAACACCGGCGGCUCGAGUGGUAACCGUUAUUAUUGGGUCUAAAGGGUCUGUAGCCGGCCGGGUAAGUCUCUUGGGAAAUCCAGCAGCUUAACUGUUGGGCUUUCAGGAGAUACCGCCUGGCUCGAGGCCGGGAGAGGUGAGAGGUACUUCAGGGGUAGGGGUGAAAUCUUGUAAUCCUUGAAGGACCACCAGUGGCGAAGGCGUCUCACCAGAACGGACCUGACGGCAAGGGACGAAAGCUAGGGGCACGAACCGGAUUAGAUACCCGGGUAGUCCUAGCCGUAAACGAUACUCGCUAGGUGUCGGCCACGGUGCGACCGUGGUCGGUGCCGUAGGGAAGCCGUGAAGCGAGCCAC